Molecule: ribosomal RNA, 388 nt
Filed under: uncultured Nocardioidaceae bacterium
Lineage: Bacteria; Bacillati; Actinomycetota; Actinomycetes; Propionibacteriales; Nocardioidaceae
Description: bacterial SSU rRNA
Rfam family: Bacterial small subunit ribosomal RNA
Source: RNAcentral
UAGUGAGUUUGAUCCUGGCUCAGGACGAACGCUGGCGGCGUGCUUAACACAUGCAAGUCGAGCGGAAAGGCCACUUCGGUGGUACUCGAGCGGCGAACGGGUGAGUAACACGUGAGUAAUCUGCCCUUGGCUUCGGGAUAGCCACCGGAAACGGUGAUUAAUACCGGAUAUGGCCACUUCGUGCAUGCGAUGGUGGUGGAAAGUUUUUCGGCCAGGGAUGUGCUCGCGGCCUAUCAGCUUGAUGGUGAGGUAAUGGUUCACCAUGGCUUCGACGGGUAGCCGGCCUGAGAGGGUGACCGGUCACACUGGGACUGAGACACGGCCCAGACUCUACGGGGAGCAGCAGUGGGGAAUAUUGGACAAUGGGCGAAGCCUGAUCCCAGCAACG